Molecule: transfer RNA, 62 nt
Filed under: Phyllodiaptomus tunguidus
Lineage: Eukaryota; Metazoa; Arthropoda; Copepoda; Calanoida; Diaptomidae
Description: tRNA-Met
Source: RNAcentral
AUAAUAAAAGAGGAAAGCCUCAUAAUUAGUUUUACAGACUAAUGCUGUUUCAGCCAUUUUAU